This 433-nucleotide ribosomal RNA is filed under the name uncultured bacterium. RNAcentral describes it as "partial 16S ribosomal RNA". It matches the Rfam family "Bacterial small subunit ribosomal RNA", at positions 29 to 507 of the family's 1533-position model. The record is from RNAcentral.
AACGAACGCUGGCGGCAUGCCUAACACAUGCAAGUCGAACGAGACCUUCGGGUCUAUGUGCGCACGUGUGCGUAACGCGUGGGAACCUGCACUUAGGUUCGGAAUAACUCCCCGAAAGGGGUGCUAAUACCGGUUAAGGUCUUCCGACCAAAGAUCUAUCGCGUUUGGAUGGGCCCGCGUUGGAUUAGCGGGUUGGUAGGGUAAAAGCCUACCAAGGCGAGGAUCCAUAGCUGGUCUGAGAGGAUGACCAGCCACAAUGGGAAUGAGACACGGACCAGAAUCCUACGGGAGGCAGCAGUAGGGAAUAUUAGACAAUGGGCGAAAGUCUGAUCCAGCAAUGCCGCGUGAGUGAUGAAGGCCUUAGGGUUGUACAGCUCUUUUAGCCGGGAUGAUAAUGACAGUAACGGGAGAAUAAGCUCCGGCUAACUCCGUG